AACGAACGCUGGCGGCAUGCCUAACACAUGCAAGUCGAACGAAGCCUUCGGGCUUAGUGGCGCACGGGUGCGUAACGCGUGGGAAUCUGCCCUUGGGUUCGGAAUAACAGUUAGAAAUGACUGCUAAUACCGAAUGAUGUCUUCGGACCAAAGAUUUAUCGCCCAAGGAUGAGCCCGCGUCGGAUUAGCUAGUUGGUGAGGUAAAGGCUCACCAAGGCGACGAUCCGUAGCUGGUCUGAGAGGAUGAUCAGCCACACUGGGACUGAGACACGGCCCAGACUCCUACGGGAGGCAGCAGUAGGGAAUAUUGCACAAUGGAGGAAACUCUGAUGCAGCGACGCCGCGUGAGUGAUGAAGGACUUCGGUUUGUAAAGCUCUGUUGUCAGGGAAUAAAAAAAUGAAUAGUACCUGACGAGAGAGGACGGCUAACUUCGUGCCAGCAGCCGCGGUAAU
RNAcentral lists this ribosomal RNA (453 nucleotides) under uncultured bacterium. Its description in RNAcentral is "bacterial SSU rRNA". It matches the Rfam family "Bacterial small subunit ribosomal RNA", at positions 29 to 524 of the family's 1533-position model. The record is from RNAcentral.